AGUUGGCAGCAUUGUCCGUGUCCCUAACGAUUAUAUAAGUCAGAUCAGGACAGAAACAGCACUGUUAAUACGAUAUAACAUAGCAUACAUUAACGUACUGUAACAGUACUACUAACGCUCGCAGCUUAAUGUAUAUUUACCAGAUCACACAUCUAACGCUAAAAUCGUCUACAGUGAGGACGAUAGUUUAAAAACAACAACCGUAUACCACAACACAUGUACACUCUUAAAAAUACUGGGUUAUUUUAUUAACCCAACCACUGGGUUGAGGCUGUUUAACCCUGUAUUAUGUAUAUUCAACCCAUAUUGGGUUACUUACAGUAACCCAGUAGUUGGGUUAAUGGUUUUGGACUGUGCCUUGAUCUGAAUAACCCAACCAAUGGUCAUUUUAACCCAGUGGUUGGGUUACAUUCAAGUUUGGGUUCUCCUCCAACGGUCUUUUUCUUUUCCUCCGAGGCGGGAGAACACUUUUGGAAACGCUGAAGCGAUUGAAUAUGGAGGACUUUGUUAAACUAAAGUUAACAGAACGGCAACUUCUUGAGCUGAUUGACACUUUUGCAGAUUGUGCAGGACUUCGAGGUUCUUCAUAAAGAGGCAUCAGACUAAAUCUUUGACCUGGAGGAGGUUCAGCGAGAAGCUUGUUCAUGCGGCCCAGUGGGAGGGGUAGAAGCUCCACGUGCAGACAGAGA
This is a long non-coding RNA of Perca fluviatilis (European perch), 689 nucleotides long. RefSeq lists it as uncharacterized. The transcript is spliced from 3 exons. The record is from RefSeq and is a predicted model, not a curated record. Lineage: Eukaryota; Metazoa; Chordata; Actinopteri; Perciformes; Percidae.